CAACAAACCUCGGCGACAUCCUACGCUCGCCAAAAGUGCGAGCGUUCCUUGCCAGCCAGAUCUGGUGGGCGGUGCAAGUCGCUCGGAUAGCCUCCUGACAUGUCCGGGGACUAGCCAGCCACUGACGUAUCAUCUGUAGAAACAGUCUCCUCUCCCGCCAAACCUCCUCUGGGAUACCCGUCCACUGCCAUGUCUGCCUCGCCCAAAAGCAUCCAAAUAGUACAUGAUCAACUGACUCAUCCGCACCGCAGGCCCCACACUCCGCAGGGAUCCCCAGACCACGUCGGCUCAGCACAGCUCUCGUCGGAAGGCGGUCCCACAUCACCUUCCAUAGAAAAAGUGCUGC
This 346-nucleotide long non-coding RNA is filed under the name Phoenix dactylifera (date palm). Its description in RNAcentral is "long non-coding RNA (PDAC_LNC016119)". Lineage: Eukaryota; Viridiplantae; Streptophyta; Magnoliopsida; Arecales; Arecaceae. The record is from RNAcentral.